GUGAGGAAUAUUGGUCAAUGGACGCAAGUCUGAACCAGCCAUGCCGCGUGAAGGAUGAAGGCCCUCUGGGUUGUAAACUUCUUUUAUCUGGGACGAAAAAAGGGUAUUCUUACUCACUUGACGGUACCAGAGGAAUAAGCACCGGCUAACUCCGUGCCAGCAGCCGCGGUAAUACGGAGGGUGCAAGCGUUAUCCGGAUUCACUGGGUUUAAAGGGUGCGUAGGUGGGUAUUUAAGUCAGUGGUGAAAUCUCCGAACUUAACUCGGAAACUGCCAUUGAUACUAUUUACCUUGAAUGCCCUGGAGGUAAGCGGAAUAUGUCAUGUAGCGGUGAAAUGCUUAGAUAUGACAUAGAACACCAAUUGCGAAGGCAGCUUACUACGGGGUGAUUGACACUGAGGCACGAAAGCGUGGGGAGCAAACAGGAUUAGAAACCCCGGUAGUCC
Molecule: ribosomal RNA, 445 nt
Filed under: uncultured bacterium
Lineage: Bacteria
Description: bacterial SSU rRNA
Rfam family: Bacterial small subunit ribosomal RNA
Source: RNAcentral